Molecule: ribosomal RNA, 513 nt
Filed under: uncultured Rickettsiales bacterium
Lineage: Bacteria; Pseudomonadati; Pseudomonadota; Alphaproteobacteria; Rickettsiales
Description: bacterial SSU rRNA
Rfam family: Bacterial small subunit ribosomal RNA
Source: RNAcentral
CGUUAAUCGGAAUUACUGGGCGUAAAGCGCGCGUAGGUGGUUUGUUAAGUUGGAUGUGAAAGCCCUGGGCUCAACCUAGGAACUGCAUCCAAAACUAACUCACUAGAGUACGAUAGAGGGAGGUAGAAUUCAUAGUGUAGCAGUGGAAUGCGCAGAUAUUAUGAAGAAUACCGGUGGCGAAGGCGGCCUCCUGGAUCUGUACUGACACUGAGGUGCGAAAGCGUGGGUAGCGAACAGGAUUAGAUACCCUCGUAGUCCAUGCCGUAAACGAUGUGUGUUAGACGUUGGAAAUUUAUUUUCAGUGUCGCAGGGAAACCGAUAAACACACCGCCUGGGGAGUACGACCGCAAGGUUAAAACUCAAAUAAAUUGACGGGGGCCCGCACAAGCGGUGGAGCAUGUGGUUUAAUUCGAAGAUACGCGCAGAACCUUACCAACACUUGACAUGUUCGUCGCGACUUUAAGAGAUUAAAGUUUUCGGUUCGGCCGGACGAAACACAGGUGCUGCAUGGCU